UACGUAGGGUGCGAGCGUUAAUCGGAAUUACUGGGCGUAAAGCGUGCGCAGGCGGUUCGUUGUGUCGGCGGUGAAAGCCCCGGGCUCAACCUGGGAAUGGCCGUUGAAACUGGCGAACUGGAGUGUGGCAGAGGGGGUGGAAUUCCGCGUGUAGCAGUGAAAUGCGUAGAGAUGCGGAGGAACACCGAUGGCGAAGGCAGCCCCCUGGGCUGACACUGACGCUCAGGCACGAAGGCGUGGGGAGCAAACAGG
This 252-nucleotide ribosomal RNA is filed under the name uncultured bacterium. RNAcentral describes it as "partial 16S ribosomal RNA". It matches the Rfam family "Bacterial small subunit ribosomal RNA", at positions 524 to 776 of the family's 1533-position model. The record is from RNAcentral.